GCAUGAGAAUCACUUGAACCCGGGAGGUGGAGGUUGCAGGGAGCUGAGAUCGCACCUCUGUACUCCAGCCUGGAUGACAGAGCGAGACUCUGUUUCAAAAAACAGGAAAAGAAAAAGAAAUGAAGCCCAUUCUACUUCCUAGCUUUUGGAAAGUGACCUGUUCCCGUCUCUGGAAGCUUGCAGGAUCUUCUGUUUGUCCACAGUAUUCUGAAAUGUCCCAGAGAUGAGGUCUGGUGUGUGUCUGAAUGCCUAAUGAGGAAAGGUGCACUCCGUGGCUCAGUUCUCUAGAGAAGACAUUUCCAGUCUCUUCACCGAGGCAAAGACCCAGCUUCAGACCUCAGAUCUUCAUCAAAGUUAUUUAGCUAAAGCUUAUUUUCACCAGUUGCCCCAAGCAUACGUCAGUAUGGUCACGUGACUAUACAAGGAGCUAUUCUAUAUGGACCAUAGGGGAGGGGCAGGCGUUCACCAACUGGAGGAGAAAGGACAUCUGCAGCAGAAGGUGUUCAAAGGUGUGCACAGAAGUGAGGAGAUAACGAACAGUAUGUUUGGGGAACAUAACUACCUUGGAGCCAGGAUCUCACAUUGUUCAGCAUCCCGAGUGACACACUGAGUGGCCCGGGGCAGAACCGUGUGUUCUCGAGCUGUAUGCAUCAUCAUGGGCCCACCUGGGGGGACUUCUGAUCUACACUUCUGCAGAGAACGUUCCCUACAGCCACGGACCAAGGCAUCUGAAGAAGGCACAUGCCUAUCUGUGACUGGUUCCACAGUGACUCAUCAGGUCUUAAGUUUUUUUAAAAAAGGCUGACUGAGGAGGUUUCCAGACCUGCACUUUUCCAGAUGGUUCUGUGGGCUUUGGCCUGAGGUUGGGCUGAACCCUGCUGGAACACGGGCGAUUGGAAAGGUUCACCGAAGAGUGAGAACAACUCCAAACCUUCUUCUACCCACCCCUCCAACAUGAAAAAGUAAAAAGACUAGGAGAGGAAAUGGAAACUCUAGCACUUCUCUUUUGGUGAAACCUUAUGAAAAUAAGUCAAUUUCUUGCCUUUGUGCUUCCUUUGGAAAGACUUUUUAGCCUUUGGAGUCUGAUGAAGCUAGGUAUGAGUUUGGCCCCACUGCUGUCUGGCUAAGAGAUCUUGGACAACUUACUUAACUUUUCUGAGCCUCAAUUGUUGGGAGAAUUGAGACAAUGUAGGUGAAGUGCCUUCUGGGUCUAUACUUGAGGUAGGAUAGGGUUUAAUAUCAGUGUUCCUCUUCGUAUUCCACUAAGGUAGCUUUUUAGCUUUCUUUGACAAGUCAGUUCUCUAGUUCUCCGUUUUCUCACUUGUAAUUAGGACAUCGGAUUGGACAUUCUCUAAGUUCCUCUCAGCGCCAGUAUGCUAUGACAUUUUUUCUAAAAUAAGGUUUGUGGACUACUUAGAACAGAAUAACUUUAAGUGUGUUUUAAAAACACAGAUUCCUGGGUUCCUCUCCAGACCUGCUGAAACUUGCACUUCCCUUGUGCUUCCUCAUGCUUGGCAAUCUCUGUUCUGUUUUACAUCUUAUCUACCUUGCCCAUCUUUAUAACUCAAUCUAAAAUCUCAAUGCUGGGCUAAUGGUAGGGCCUCAAUAUGUCCUUGAUUACUACAACUCGCUGCCUAGACUGGGAACUACCUUUGCUGCCAUCUUGGUUUCUUCGAGGGUCAGUCCUCUUGUCUUCAAUAUGUGUAGUGAUUCCCCCAAAAUAGAAGACAGCUCAGGUCAGAGAAAAAGCCUGGGCAUCUAUGAGGAUGAGUGGGAAAUAGGGAGUCUGGAAAAGGAGAGUUUUGGAUCAUGGACCCUCAGAGGCUCCUUCCCAGUCUGGAAUCCUGAGACUCUAGUUUCCACUGAGGGAACUGAUUCCACUGUGCUAGUUCACAUCACCUCCUCUGUUUGUCAACUCCCAGCUUCCAUUUCCAGUUUAUUCCUUUCUCUUCAUUACUACCUAUGUGACAGACUGGUGCUGUGAGAUUAGUGUGUUUCAUGCGCAUCCAUUCUUUGUUACAUCUUGAGAUCUACUCUUAUUUGUGCUCGCAUAACCCUAGUCUAUCCCCCGAACUACUGUCUGGAAUCCCUCUGCAGGACCAUUUCACAAUUUAUUUAUGCCUUCUCCUAUUGAUGGUUAUGUACAUGGUUUCCAGUUCUUCCCUAUUACAGACAACACUGUGAUCACCCCCUCAUACCUGUUGCCUUGUGUACUCAGGUACAAGCAUUUAUCUAAACACCUAGAAGGAGCCUUGCUGGGUUACACUUGCAGUUUCCCUAGAUACUGCUGAAUUGCCCUCCAAAAUGAUGGUGUCAAUUUACACUCCCAUCCAUUGUAUAUGGGAAGACCCAUUUCCCUCAACCUUUCCAACACUUGAUGUUGUUAGACUUUGUUUUGCUAAUCUGAUGGGUGACCGUGGUAUCUUGUUGUAAUUUGCCUGUUUCUGAUUCCUAAUUCUGUUGAGUAAACCCAUUUGGGUUUCUUCUACUGUAAAUUACCUAGUCAUAUAUUUUGCCCAUUUGUCUGUUCCUUGUUAUUUUAUGGGAGUUCUUUAAACAUCCUUGAUACCAAUCCUUUGUCUAUCAUGUUUUGCAUAUAUUUUCCUCCAAUCAAUACUUAU
RNAcentral lists this long non-coding RNA (2621 nucleotides) under Homo sapiens (human). RNAcentral's name for it is "HSALNT0027141". Lineage: Eukaryota; Metazoa; Chordata; Mammalia; Primates; Hominidae. The record is from RNAcentral.